GCACCACAACGGGUGGAGCUUGCGGUUUAAUUGGAUUCAACGCCGGAAAUCUUACCGGGACCGACAGCAAUAUGAAGGCCAGGCUGAAGACUUUGCCGGAUUAGCUGAGAGGUGGUGCAUGGCCGUCGUCAGUUCGUACUGUGAAGCAUCCUGUUAAGUCAGGCAACGAGCGAGACCCACGCCCACAGUUGCCAGCGUACUCUCUGGAGUGACGGGUACACUGUGGGACCGCCGCUGCUAAAGCGGAGGAAGGAAUGGGCAACGGUAGGUCAGUAUGCCCCGAAUAUCCCGGGCUACACGCGAGCUACAAUGGUUGGUACAAUGGGUAUCUACCCCGAAAGGGGACGGGAACCUCCUAAAACCAAUCUUAGUUCGGAUUGAGGGCUGCAACUCGCCCUCAUGAAGCUGGAAUCCGUAGUAAUCGCGUUUCAACAGAACGCGGUGAAUACGUCCCUGCUCCUU
Molecule: ribosomal RNA, 462 nt
Filed under: uncultured Methanosaeta sp.
Lineage: Archaea; Methanobacteriati; Methanobacteriota; Methanomicrobia; Methanotrichales; Methanotrichaceae
Description: bacterial SSU rRNA
Rfam family: Archaeal small subunit ribosomal RNA
Source: RNAcentral